AAAGAUUUAGGAUAAUUAGACCAAGGACCUUCAAAGCCCUAAGAAGAAGUAGACCUUCUAAUCUUUGAC
Molecule: transfer RNA, 69 nt
Filed under: Bolitoglossa n. sp. RLM-2004
Lineage: Eukaryota; Metazoa; Chordata; Amphibia; Caudata; Plethodontidae
Description: tRNA-Trp
Source: RNAcentral